GGGAUACCUACUCUCGCUGCAGCUAGAAUGCAAAGAUGGUCUUUGAUCUUGUCUGCAUACAAGUAUGAAAUCCAGUACAAGAGAUCAGAACAGCAUGGAAAUGCUGAUGCCUUGUCGAGGUUACCCAUGAACGAUGAUAAUGCUAUUAGGUCUAAUCCAGUGUAUAGGGUGUCUUAUCUCGAAGAAUUACCUGUCACUGCGAACGAAAUAGCACAAGAAACGGAGGCUGACCCUGUGCUCAAAAGGGUUAAAGAACAUGUAAUGUGUGGGUGGUCAAAGCAUAUAUCUGAAGAAGUACUAAAGCCAUACUUUUCCAAGAAAUUUGAACUUUCCGUGGAAAAUGGUUGUCUUCUUUGGGGGUAUCGUGUAGUGAUACCUGAAAAAUUGCAUGACAGAUUACUGGCAGAACUUCAUGACAGUCAUUGGGGUAUGGUAAAGAUGAAAUCGUUGGCUAGAAGUUUUUUUUGGUGGCCUGCCCUUGAUAUGGACAUUGAAAACGUAGUUAGUCAAUGUGACGUGUGUCCGCAACAGCGUAGCAUGCCUGCUCCUGUUCCUGUACAUACAUGGAAAUGGUCAUCGGGACCCUGGGAGCGAAUUCACUUAGAUUUUGCUGAGGAUCACCAGCAGUUGUUUUUGGUAGUAAUGGAUGCUUAUGCUAGAUGGCCUGAGAUUGUUCCUAUGCAAUCAACUACUUCAGCAAAGACGAUCGAAGUGCUGAGACAUUUAUUUGCGGCUUACGGUCUUCCUCAGGAAGUAGUCACUGAUAAUGGACCCCAGUUUACGUCCCGAGAAUUUGAACAAUUCUUACUGCUGAAUGGGGUCAAACAUACUAAAUCUCCUGCGUAUCAUCCUGCCUCAAAUGGGUUGGCUGAAUGGUUGGUGCAGAAUUUAAAAAGAGCACUUGCAAAGAAUAGAGCGGUUGGGGGUAAAACACUUCAACACUGUGUUGCUAAUUUUUUGUAUAAUUACCGCAACACGCCUCAUAGUGCUACUCACAAGACACCAGCAGAGUUAUUCCUCAAGAGAUCAGUUCGUACGCGAUUGUCUCUGAUCAGGCCACACUUUUCACAGGCUCUGAAUUGUGCGAGCCCUGCUAAAACUGAGGAACCCUGUAGAGUCAGGACCUUUACUGUUGGGCAACAUGUUUUGGUAAGAAAUUACAGGGGAGGGGAGAAAUGGUUGCAUGGUGUCAUUUCAAAAGUGCUGGGUCCAGUCACUUACAUGGUUGAUGUGAAUGGAAACUGUGUAAAGAGACAUGUGAAUCAGAUGCUGAGUAGUAAAUCUAGGUGUGACAGGGGUAAUGUUGAACAUGGUCAUGUUCCUGACAAGGGAAGGAACUGGGUUUAUGAUGAGAUUGACAUGGAUGUUAAGGGGGGCAGUGAAAUUGUCAUAUCAGAAAGCACUGCGACUGAUUCAGAGACACAGUCAACACCUGAAGCAGUGCCGCUCUCAUCAGCAGCAUCCUCAUCACCGUCCAUCCCCACUGAAAGUGUUUUUGUGAA
This 1502-nucleotide long non-coding RNA is filed under the name Scleropages formosus (Asian bonytongue). RNAcentral's name for it is "lncRNA (ENSSFOG00015033147.1)". Lineage: Eukaryota; Metazoa; Chordata; Actinopteri; Osteoglossiformes; Osteoglossidae. The record is from RNAcentral.